Molecule: transfer RNA, 57 nt
Filed under: Candidatus Yonathbacteria bacterium CG_4_8_14_3_um_filter_46_25
Lineage: Bacteria; Candidatus Yonathiibacteriota
Description: tRNA-Asn
Rfam family: tRNA
About the family: Transfer RNA (tRNA) molecules are approximately 80 nucleotides in length. Their secondary structure includes four short double-helical elements and three loops (D, anti-codon, and T loops). Further hydrogen bonds mediate the characteristic L-shaped molecular structure. tRNAs have two regions of fundamental functional importance: the anti-codon, which is responsible for specific mRNA codon recognition, and the 3' end, to which the tRNAs corresponding amino acid is attached (by aminoacyl-tRNA synthetases). tRNAs cope with the degeneracy of the genetic code in two manners: having more than one tRNA (with a specific anti-codon) for a particular amino acid; and 'wobble' base-pairing, i.e. permitting non-standard base-pairing at the 3rd anti-codon position.
Source: RNAcentral
UAGCUCAGUUGGUAGAGCGCCUCGCUGUUAACGAGGAUGUCCCAGGUUCGAGCCCUG